AUUUUGUACAAUGGGGGAAACCCUGAUCCAGCCAUCCCGCGGGUAUGGUGAAGGCNUUNNGGUUGNANAGUACUUUUGGCAGANNNNNAAAGGUAUCCCNUAAUACGGGAUACUGCUGACGGUAUCUGCAGAAUAAGCACCGGCUAACUACGUGUCAGCAGCCGGGGUAACACGUAGGGUGCAAGCGUUAAUCGGAAUUACUGGGCGUAAAGCGAGUGUAGGCGGUUCGGAAAGAAAGAUGUUAAAUCCCACGGCUCAACCUUGGAACUGCAUUUUUAACUGCCGAGCUAGAGUAUGUCAGAGGGGGGUAGAAUUCCACGUGUAGCAGUGAAAUGCGUAGAUAUGUGGAGGAAUACCGAUGGCGAAGGCAGCCCCCUGGGAUAAUACUGACGCUCAGACACGAAAGCGUGGGGAGCAAACAGG
Molecule: ribosomal RNA, 423 nt
Filed under: uncultured bacterium
Lineage: Bacteria
Description: partial 16S ribosomal RNA
Rfam family: Bacterial small subunit ribosomal RNA
Source: RNAcentral